RNAcentral lists this long non-coding RNA (372 nucleotides) under Manihot esculenta (cassava). RNAcentral's name for it is "long non-coding RNA (MESC_LNC004458)". The record is from RNAcentral. Lineage: Eukaryota; Viridiplantae; Streptophyta; Magnoliopsida; Malpighiales; Euphorbiaceae.
CGUGUUUUCUCUACCCAUCUCUCAAGUUUUUCAUGAUUUCUACCCUUGUGUUUGAAGAUUUAAAGCUUAAAAGGAGUUUUGGGAGCUUGGAGCUUUUGGAGCUUGGAUUCUCCACACCUCCGAGUUAGGGGUCACACCACCCUCGAUCUUCAAGAGGUAAGUGUAGAUCCUUGUUUCCCUAGUGUUUUCAUGAAGUUUUAUGAAGUUUUUGAUGGUUGAGUAUGGGUAGAUAUGCAUGUUUAGGUUUAUGUGGGUUUUAUACCCAAUGUAUGUUAUGUGAUGUUUGUGUUGAGGAGUUUAUGUUAGUUUAUGCUCCUUUAUGCUUGUGGGAGUGAGUAUGCAUGAUUGGGAGAGAGUAUGUGAGGAUUUGGG